RNAcentral lists this ribosomal RNA (440 nucleotides) under uncultured bacterium. RNAcentral describes it as "partial 16S ribosomal RNA". It matches the Rfam family "Bacterial small subunit ribosomal RNA", at positions 61 to 795 of the family's 1533-position model. The record is from RNAcentral.
CCUCCUUUCUUCCUCCUUUUUGUCUCUUGCCCCAUGGGGGCACCCCUGCUGCAGCAACGCCGCGUGAGUGAAGAAGGUCUUCGGAUUGUAAAGCUCUGUUCUUGGUGAAGAUAAUGACGGUAGCCAAGGAGAAAGCUCCGGCUAACUACGUGCCAGCAGCCGCGGUAAUACGUAGGGAGAGAGCGUUGUCCGGAUUUACUGGGUGUAAAGGGUGCGCAGGCGGCUCUGCAAGUCAGGCGUGAAAGCUAGGGGCUCAACCCCUAAAUUGCGCUUGAAACUGUGGAGCUUGAGUGAAGUAGAGGCAGGCGGAAUUCCCGGUGUAGCGGUGAAAUGCGUAGAGAUCGGGAGGAACACCAGUGGCGAAGGCGGCCUGCUGGGCUUUAACUGACGCUCAGGCACGAAAGCAUGGGUAGCAAACAGGAUUAGAUACCCGAGUAGUC